UGAGACCUCAGGUCAGGCGGGGCUACCCGCUGAAUUUAAGCAUAUC
This 46-nucleotide ribosomal RNA is filed under the name Trigonella foenum-graecum. RNAcentral describes it as "partial 28S ribosomal RNA". Lineage: Eukaryota; Viridiplantae; Streptophyta; Magnoliopsida; Fabales; Fabaceae. The record is from RNAcentral.